RNAcentral lists this ribosomal RNA (274 nucleotides) under uncultured bacterium. RNAcentral describes it as "partial 16S ribosomal RNA". It matches the Rfam family "Bacterial small subunit ribosomal RNA", at positions 523 to 796 of the family's 1533-position model. The record is from RNAcentral.
AUACGGGGGGAACAAGCGUUGUUCGGAUUCACUGGGCGUAAAGAGCACGUAGGCGGAAGGAUAAGUCAGAUGUGAAAUCCCGGGGCUCAACCGCGGGUCUGCAUUUGAUACUGUCUUUCUUGAGUACGAGAGAGGAUGGCGGAAUUCCUGGUGUAGCGGUGAAAUGCGUAGAUAUCAGGAAGAACACCGGUGGCGAAGGCGGCCAUCUGGCUAGAUACUGACGCUGAGGUGCGAAGGCUGGGGGAGCAAACAGGAUUAGAUACCCUGGUAGUCC